GAGGAUAUAGCUCAGCAGUAGAGUGCAUGCUUAGCAUGUGUGAGUUCCUGGGUUCAAUCCCCAGUACCUCCA
Transfer RNA from Camelus ferus (Wild Bactrian camel), 72 nucleotides. It matches the Rfam family "tRNA". From Rfam's summary of the family: Transfer RNA (tRNA) molecules are approximately 80 nucleotides in length. Their secondary structure includes four short double-helical elements and three loops (D, anti-codon, and T loops). Further hydrogen bonds mediate the characteristic L-shaped molecular structure. tRNAs have two regions of fundamental functional importance: the anti-codon, which is responsible for specific mRNA codon recognition, and the 3' end, to which the tRNAs corresponding amino acid is attached (by aminoacyl-tRNA synthetases). tRNAs cope with the degeneracy of the genetic code in two manners: having more than one tRNA (with a specific anti-codon) for a particular amino acid; and 'wobble' base-pairing, i.e. permitting non-standard base-pairing at the 3rd anti-codon position. The record is from Rfam. NCBI's taxonomy places the organism in Eukaryota, Metazoa, Chordata, Mammalia, Artiodactyla, Camelidae.